Homo sapiens (human) is the source of this 1745-nucleotide long non-coding RNA. RefSeq lists it as uncharacterized. Lineage: Eukaryota; Metazoa; Chordata; Mammalia; Primates; Hominidae. The record is from RefSeq and is a predicted model, not a curated record. The transcript is spliced from 2 exons.
GGUCCCAGCUACUCGGGAGGCUGAGGCAGGAGAAUGGCGUGAACCCGGGAGGCGGAGCUUGCAGUGAGCCAAGAUCGCACCACCACACUCCAGCCUGGGCGACAGAGCGAGACUCCAUCUCAAAAAAAAAAAUUAAAAUUAAAAAAAAAAUAAAUUAUUCUCCAAACUUUUAGUAAGUCUGACAUUUUUCAUAAUUAAAAAAACAUAAAAUCUUUUCUAAUGAGAAUUGUAGGGCCAGAGGCACAGAGGGUUCCUGGGGAAAGAAUGUUCAAUAAACAGCAAGCAGCAACUUUUUCCUGUGUCAAGUCUAUUGGUCCUGCCAGGUGCCAGGAGCUGGAGGGUGAUGAAAAUGUUCAGACUCAUUGCUGCCCUCAGAUGGCUUGUGAUCUAACUGGGUAAGAAUCAAAUCAGUGGCAAUGCCAGUCAGGAGUGAAGCAACAAGGCCACAACAAUAUGUGGCAGUCACUCACCAGCCACCAGCCCACAGGAGCAGAGGCUCCUGGGACAUCUGGCCACAGAGAAGUCAACACAACUGGCUCCUAAGCUGCAAGCUUCUUGAAGACAUCUGAGUCCCUGUUCCCUCCCUACCCACAUCUCCAUACUUUUUAUGGUUGGUUACAUUUUUUGUUUUGUUUUGUUUUGUUUUGUUUUAGAGACAGUGUCUCGCUAUGUUGCCCAGGCUGGUCUCAAACUCCUGGACUCAAGUGAUCCUCUCUCAUCAGCCUCCCGAGUAGCCAGGAUUACAGGCAAAUGCCAUGCUGUUGGUGAAAUUUUGUUUAAUUUUUUAUCUUUAAUUAUGAUAUAUUUCAAGCAUAUGAAAAGGCACAGAUGUAAUGAACACCCGAGGACAUCCUAGACAACAGAUGUUAACAUCAUUUGCAUUUGUUUUGGAUAUAUUUUGUAAUAUAUCAACAUAGAUGGAGCAAAUCCUCACACCCUGACCCCAAGUCUUCCCGUUCCCUCCCACGCCGAAGGGAACCACUGUCCUAACACUAUUUAUCUCUCCCAUGCAUACUUUUGGACCUAUAAACACAGAAUAUUGUAAGACAAUGUAGUAAAACAAUAGAUUUCACACUUUUUACCACACUCAAUCCAUGAAAAGCAUUUUAUACUUUGACCCUGUAAACAUGCACGCACACACACACACACGUGCAUGCAUAUACGUAGACAUAUAUACCUGUGUAUGUGAGCGCAUAUGUAAUCUGAAACAAAAUUUUCAUGAAAUAACACUCUUAACUACUUGCGGUACAUUCUGAUUUUUUUUUUUUUUUUUUAAGAUGGAGGCAAGAGAAUCAUUUAACCCGGGAGGCUGAGGUUGCAGUGAGCGGAGAUUGCACCACUGCACUCCAGGUUGGGUUACAGACUUUUUCUUUUUUCUACAACCAUGACAAUCCCAACUCAGCUCAUAGGGACUAACAAGAAAGUGGACUCUACAGUCUCUAUAGCAACACUGGAGUGGAGGAGGCAAGCUAACUCUAAGUUGUUAUGUUGAUGGUGGCUGAUCAUCAGGCAUGUUUAGUACCAAAGUUCUCGAACAUGUAUGCUUGAAUGUACACCCUACAUGAUUUCUUUGUAAUGUUCUUUUUCCAUCCCAUGACUCCACCCAAAUUCUCCACUCACUAUCUCCCACUGUAUGGUUUUAUGGGGCUGCUCAUCCAAGGACCGUACUGGUACAGUAUUCUCAAUUCCUUCCAUUAUCAUAUUGUUAUAAUAAAAAUGUUAUUUUUGUAUCCUAGGUAACCCAA